This 505-nucleotide ribosomal RNA is filed under the name uncultured Bacillota bacterium. RNAcentral describes it as "bacterial SSU rRNA". It matches the Rfam family "Bacterial small subunit ribosomal RNA", at positions 999 to 1503 of the family's 1533-position model. The record is from RNAcentral. Lineage: Bacteria; Bacillati; Bacillota.
UUCUGAAGGGAGGGUGCCCGCAAGGGAGCUUUAGCACAGGUGCUGCAUGGCUGUCGUCAGCUCGUGUCGUGAGAUGUCGCGUUAAGUCGCUUAACGAGCGAAACCCUUGUCCUUAGUUACCGGCGGGUCAUGCCGGGAACUCUAAGGUGACUGCCGGUGACAAACCGGAGGAAGGUGGGGAUGACGUCAAAUCAUCAUGCCCCUUAUGACCUGGGCUACACACGUGCUACAAUGGAUGGUACAAAGGGCUGCAAAACCGCGAGGUCGAGCCAAUCCCAUAAAACCAUUCUCAGUUCGGAUUGUAGGCUGCAACUCGCCUACAUGAAGCUGGAAUCGCUAGUAAUCGUGGAUCAGCAUGCCACGGUGAAUACGUUCCCGGGUCUUGUACACACCGCCCGUCACACCACGAAAGUUUGUAACACCCAAAGUCGGUGGGGUAACCGUAAGGAGCCAGCCGCCUAAGGUGGGACAGAUGAUUGGGGUGAAGUCGUAACAAGGUAACCGU